RNA transcript from Oncorhynchus kisutch (coho salmon), 9906 nucleotides. It is a transcript of the gene named protein phosphatase 1 regulatory subunit 37-like, with no coding region annotated. The record is from RefSeq and is a predicted model, not a curated record. Lineage: Eukaryota; Metazoa; Chordata; Actinopteri; Salmoniformes; Salmonidae. The transcript has 13 exons.
ACAACAAAUAGUUGUUGGACUCGAGUAAGCUAACGUUACGUUAGCUAGCACAAGGACGAGGAGAGAAAACAGCGUCUUUGCAUUCAAGCGCUUCUCGGGGAACGUCAAUAAGCGGCAUGUCUUUGUUUUAAAAUAACAACCAAAAAGGAGAUUAUUGUUCAACAGUUAAAUCAUUUGGGUACGAGGACGAAACAUGCUCCGGACUAUGACGCUUGUUUUUCUCCUUGCCUAGUCGAGGAUUGUGAUGCGAGGUGCUCUGGUGAGACCACGAACGACAUUCGGAAAUUAUUUUUCUUGAACUAGAAUGAUUGACUCAAAAACAAAGCAUUUGGGUUUACCGAAAGGUGCAUAAAACUACACCGGUCUACUUUAGCUAGCUUCAUGCACAUGAAAUAGUAUUUUGCUAACGUAAUGGAGGCACUGUGGGUACAGUUUUAGCUAGCUGGUCACCCAAAAUAUAGCUAUAACGUUAGCUAGCUUCCACAUCCACUUUUAGAGUGUGCUGACCAACAAAAUACAGAAUACUGUAACAUAAAACGGCUAUCCAUGCACUUUAUCGAUAUCUAUCGUGGUUACCUAGCGUUAAGUUAGCUAGCCAAACAAGUAUAAACUAGAUUGAGACUAGCAGCAGAAUACAUUGUUUCUCGGUUAGGAGGAUUUGUCACGGUCGUUUGACACGAGGUGUUGCCUUUAUCUCUUGAUCAUUUCACAACAAUUUACCGUUCCUGGACAUGUGAUAUGGUCAAUUUAUCAAAGGGUUUCUGAAAUUACAAUUUCAGGCUAUAAAUAUCCUGAACUGCAGGCACGCAUCACGUGUCAAACCAGUCAAAUUUGCUUGCUUGAAAGUUGUCAAUAAUGUGCGAAAUUAUCUUUUGAAAUAGUUCUGUGUGUGGGCACAAAUAGCUCUUUUGUCAAUCAAUUACGUUAACACUCAAAAAGCACUUAUAUUGUCAUUGACAAAGUUGUAAACAUUCUUGAUGAAAGCAUUUAUUUUACAAAUUAUGUUAGCUAUUGAAGGAUCAAAGACCAACAUUCAAAGGUUAGACUGACAUCUACUCAAAGGCAUCACUUUAAAUAUCUUGUGUCAAGUACAGAGUUCUCGAAUCCAGUCAAUUGCCAACACUGUCUUCCUGGAAAUGAAAAUAUGAAUGUCGAGGAGCAAGCUCUGGAUUUGUGCAAUGUCAAAAUGAAGAAUAAUGUUGGUGACAAUACUACCAAUAACUCGGAAGAGAUCAUUCCCCGGCUUUCGGAACUGAUGGAUGGAGAUUUGUGUAAACAAGGCAUUGGCAACGAAGCCGCCAACACGUCCUCUCUAGUCAAGCUCACAGACAACCCGCGAAGGGAGGACAACCACCGGUCAAAAGAGACACUAGAAAUCGACGAAGUGAAUGGGAAUAAGAACAACAGCGUCCCAGAUACCUCUGCAAUAGUCAGUUCUGACUUUGACGUUUAUCAUGACGACCAACGCCAAGAUGAGAGUAUCAAGGAUACAACACCAUUGUCCCUCAUGUUUGCUAUUGAGGAAGGGGAUGAUGGUGGGGAUAUGGACAUUGGUGUGGAUUUGAGUCUGGAUGAAAGUGGCAUGUUGGAGUCAGAACCUACAGACCAGGGACCAUCCCUAGCAGAGGAGGCAUCCUCAAGCAGUACCAAUACAGAUUCAUCGACUCCAGACGCUGUCACCGACAAGGAUCCUGAGAAACCCUCAGAACAGGAGGACUCGCCACCUGUCACUGCCCCAGGAGAGGUCAUCUCUCCAGCCCUGGAUGAGGGGGAUGAUAAACACAAAAAUGGCAAGAGGGUGACUUUUCCUUCAGAUGAGGAUAUUGUCUCUGGAGCAGUGGAGCCCAAGGACCCUUGGAGACAUGCCCAGAAUGUGACAGUGGAUGAGAUUCUCUCUGCCUACAGACAGGCCUGCGUGAAACUCAACUGUAAACCCAUCCCCAAAGUGCUUAAACAGAUGCAGGAGCUGAAAGACCUAACUCAUCGAAAUGAAUGCUUGGACCUUAAAGGUGAGAAGCUGGACUAUAAGGCGUGUGAGUCCUUGGAGGAGGUGUUCAAGCGGGUCCAGUUUAAAGUGGUGGACCUGGAGCAGACCAGCCUGGAUGAAGAUGGUGCGUCCGCUCUCUUUGACAUGAUUGAGUACUAUGAGUCGGCCACACACCUCAACAUUUCCUUCAACAAGCACAUCGGCACCCGCGGCUGGCAGGCCGCAGCCCACAUGAUGAGAAAGACGAGCUCUCUGCAGUACCUGGACGCCCGCAACACACCCCUGCUGGAUCACUCUGCCCCGUUUGUGGCACGGGCGCUCCGCAUCAGCGGCAGUCUUGCUGUGCUGCACCUAGAGAACGCUGGGCUCUCUGGACGACCACUGAUGCUGCUGGCCACGGCUCUGAAGAUGAACAUGAACCUACGGGAGCUGUACUUGGCUGAUAACAAGCUGAACGGCCUGCAGGACUCUGCACAGCUGGGCAACCUGCUCAAGUUCAACUGCAACAUCCAGAUACUGGACCUCCGCAACAACCACAUACUGGACUCUGGUCUGGCCUAUGUCUGUGAAGGCCUGAAGGAACAGAGGAAAGGCCUGGUCACUCUGGUGCUCUGGAACAACCAGCUAACACACAACGGCAUGGGCUACCUCGCAGCUGCACUGCCCUGUACCCAGAGUUUGGAGACCCUAAAUCUGGGCCAUAACUCUGUGGGGAACGAGGGGGUCCACAAGCUGAAGGACAGUCUGAUCGCCAACCGCUCGGUGCUCCGGCUGGGCCUGGCGUCCACCAAGCUGUCUUGCGAGGGUGCCGUGGCGGUGGCUGAGUUCAUCGCCGAGAGCCCCCGGCUGCUGCGUCUGGACUUGAGGGAGAAUGAGAUCAAGACGGGGGGCCUCAUGGCCCUCUCCCUGGCCCUCAAAGUCAACACCUCCCUCCUACGCCUCGACCUGGACCGAGAGCCCAAGAAAGAGACUGUGAAGAGCUUCAUCGAUACGCAGCGUUCCCUGCUGGCUGAGAUCCAGAAUGGCUGCAAGCGGAACUUCAUCCUAGCCAAGGAGAAGGAGGAGACCGAGCAGCAGAUGCAUUCGGCCUCCAUGGCCGAGAUCGCCACCGAGGACAGAACCAUAGAGGAGGACGGAGCUGAUUCCGGCGAGCUUGUUGAUAACGAUGGGAAAGACAGUGAGUGUGAGGGAGGAGAGGAAGGAGUGAAAGACACUGAGCGCCUGACUGAAAGCCAAUUAGCAGUGAGCUCUGAGGGAGUGGUGUUGCCUUUGCAUUUGGAGUCCGACUCGGACACGGACGAAGAAGAGGAUGAAGAGGUGGUUCUCUCUAAAGCUCCCUCCGUCUCCCCCGCCCCCAAACACACUGGUCCUUCACUCCGGGCGGCGACAACUCAGCACCCCCUCAAUGCCUCACAGACACCCCCCGUCCCCUCUGCCUCACCUGCUACGGGGUCUGUCAUUUCAGGGAUCACCGUCACAGAGUCCACGGGGGCCCCCGGUACACCCCCCUCGCCGGGCCGCUGUAUCUCUGUGUCGAGCCCCGGGAGGGGCCACAAGAUCUUCAUGGUGACCAGAGUAGAGAGCCCAUCUGACCAACAGCAGUUCCAGGUCCUGGGGAAGAUUGGCCUGACCAAGCCCCAGGUCUCCAAAGAGUCGGUGGUGUCACUAGUGAAGGAAACCACACAGCAACCACAUCCUGGUUCACAACCCCCACAGGAGGAGGUGAGAACACAACCCCAGGCCGCGCCCACACCACUGACACAGGAGCUGGUCCAGAGUUCAGACGACCCACAGACAGUCAACCCUAAACCGAUGGAGCGGAGUCCUGUUGCGCCAGAGCAACCCCCUUCAGAGGAGACAGUAGUAGAGACUCCUAAUGACCCGUUAACAGCAGCCCAGACAUCACACUCACCCUCCCUUCCUACAGAAAUAGCAGCAGCAACACUAGCAUCACCCCAACAGACAGAGCAGAUGGUAGAGACAACUACAGAGCCCCGGCUAGAACAGUCUGCUGUUGAGCAGCAGUCCACUGAAGCUGCGCUGGAAGAGGAAGAGGAGGGGGAGGGGGAGGAGGUGGUUGUGGAAAAGGAGGAGAGUCAGAACCCAGUAGAAGAGAUACUUUGUGAACAGGCGGAGUCUCAAACCGACACAGAGGAAGAAGAUGACAUGCAGUCAGAACGGCUUCCACAGCAGGACCAGAGUCCAGAACAGGCUCGUGACACAGUUCAGCAACCGUUAGCGCCGCAACCGUUAGCACCUCAGCUAGCUACACAGACUAACACGAAGCCCCUGGGGAGUCUGCUUCUAACAGCACCGCUCCAGUCACAGCCUGAAACAGUGCAGCCAGACUCUGAGCUUCUGCCCCCACAACAGGAACCGGCAGAGACACUUCCACGGGCACAGCGACAGGUGGCGCCAGAGAGUCCGCCGGAGCAGGGAGCAACGGAGAGUGUAGCAGAAGCAGAAACUGAACAAGAACUGUAUCUGUGGGAGGAACAGCAGCAACUAGCACAACAGGCACUUCCUGUGCAGGUGGAACUGCAACAACAACAUCCUGUUCUAGAGGAACUACAGAAGCGGCAGCUUCAACCAGAGGAGCAAUCACAGACCACUCUUCCCGCUGAGCCCUCACCUGUUCCAGCCGACACAGACACUUCCCUGGAGGUGGAGGGCCGUAGCUCCCCUCCCAAGGCAGAGGAGUCUCCAGACGAGAGCUCCACGGACGAGGUGGAGGAGGUGGUGGGCUCGGCCCUUCCCAAUGGCCUGAAGCCAGAGUUCGCCCUUCACCUGCUGGACCCCGAGGGCCCCAAGCCUGGGCCUGGCAGCUGUGUGAUGGAGCACGUGAGUGUCACAGCAGAGCUGAGCUGUGGUCAGGACCUGGAGGAGCUGUUGCUGGAGGCCAGCCUGGAGACUGGGAGAGACGCACCAUAGCUGUGUCAUGGUACACCUACACUUAUUCAAUCUCCUGGAUCUCUUUACAAUUGGUUCUUUAGGAGAGAGGAACACAGGACUCGUCUCUGUCUCGGUGAAUCGGCUUGUUGCUCCUCCGAUUUUGUUGUCGUUACCACGAACUCCUCACCACCCCCUCUCUAUGAAAACAGAGGACCAGUUGUCAUCUAAGUAAAAAGAAAAAAAGACCCAAAACAAUAAUCAUUGAGCUUCGUCACAGCAUAUAAGGAAUUCACUUCAACUGAAACGCGCGCACACUGUAUUGUAAAGAAAGUUUAACAAAAUAAACAAGAAUGGACACUAAGAAAAUCACACUAACCUUUUGCCUGUCACUACAUUCCGUCAAUCAGGAAACCACGCUCAUGCUGGGGGGGGGGGGGGAAAGAGAGGGACGGAGGGGGUUUAUCACUGCGCUAACCAAAGACACAGGACACACUCUGCUCACCCCCAGCUCCACCCCAACGUGUGUUCUUCAUAGUGUCGUGGGUUUGCACACUGACACAAAACCAUACUAUUGCCCUCUGCUGGACGAAAGAGUGUGCACAGCUGUGUGGGACUCAGACAAGAGGACCCACUGGCUUUGUGUGUCAUUCUCUGACAAUGACAGUGGGGCACAGAUGGUUUUAUAACCAAGGAAUGUGUGUGUUACAGUUUUACCUGCCCCCCACCACCACCUCGUAAGGGAUCUCUGCCAAAGUGAUCACUUUCUUUUCUGUUCCUUCCCCUCCGUUGGCUUUGGCCCCCUCAGGAAUCGUCCCCUCCAGUGUCUCUCCAGCAACGCCCUGGGAACACCCAAACCAUCUGUCAUCUGCCAAAAGCACACGGUCUCAGUCACAAAUUAUGUUGGGUUUCCUUUAAGAAUCAGAUAGCGGAGUUACUCCAAUCUAAAGCUUUCUGGAAACCUCUGUAAAUGUUGGAAAACAAAAUGUCUGCCUUGACGGAGUAAUGCCGUUCAUUACGGAGGAAGUCUACCCUUUUUUCUUUUUUUUUCUCUCUCGACUGGACAGUUAUCAGACGUUCUUUUCCAGAUGGAUAUUUUUUUUUGGGUCUCCGACCAGAGUGAUUUAAAUGUAGUGUGACACUCAAUAGGAGUAUAAAUAAAAAGCAGGUCUGACCGUCUCUCUCCUUCCAAGUUCUCCCUCUUUCUUUGUAUUUUGCAGGUACAACACUGUGCCAUCUCAUUUCCCAACUCAACACAGGAUAAAUGUUGCCUUUGACUCGACUAGGUUUAAUUCCAUCUCUUUUUGUUUUGCUGCUUGGAGAAAUCAGUCGUUUUGUAUUUAUUUUAUAGUUGUAUGAGCCUUUUCUUCGUGUGAUUUAUUUUUCUCUCCUUCUCUUCCUCAUUUUAUUAGUUAUUUUCCGUGGGGUUUGCUUCUAAAGAUUUCCCCAUUUUGGUGUAUAUUUCAGAUUCAAAUUAGAGCAAUUAUUAUGUUUCGGUUUUUGGGGGGGAGGGGGGGGGGGGUAGAUAAGUGUAUGCUGGGUGGCAGUAUCAACGGAUAUGGCAAUAAGGAGGUGGGGAGAGUGCAGUUAUGAAAAUGAACGUUUUCCUAAGGAGGAGCUACGUGAGGGAUGGUUUACUGAGAGACUUCCUGUGCUGACUGAGAGGCUUCCUGUGUUGAAACUUGACAUCUUAAACACCACUGUGCUAAGGCCACCUGGGAGCGCUGGGGAUAUUGGUGUUUUCCUUGUAGGCCAGGAGGACAUUGAUAUGAACACAAACAGGUGGGUAAAAGUUUUGAGUGAACACAGGGGUACCUCUGUCUUAUACCAUCUUGGGACAUAUGUGAGCCUGAAUGCCCACCACUGUGAACCUAUGGGCCAGGUACCAACGGCCCUAUUCAACCGGUAUCUAGAAGGUUCCAGGGUAAGGCAAAAAAAGGUGCUUUCUUACAGUGCAAGAAGAAGACAGGUUUGUCUCAGCUGCGGGAUCCUCUGUAUAUAGGUUUUGGUUGAAUAGAGCCCCUUGUCUCAAUCCCACGGUUCUGUCUCCCCUGGUCAACCAGGUUGUUUCUCAGCCCGGGUAAUCAUGUCUGUGCUGCCUCCCCUGGUCAACCAGGUUGUUUCUCAGCCUGGGUAAUCAUGUCUGUGCUGCCUCCCCUGGUCAACCAGGUUGUUUCUCAGCCCGGGUAAUCAUGUCUGUGCUGCCUCCCCUGGUCAACCAGGUUGUUUCUCAGCACGGGUAAUCAUGUCUGUGCUGCCUCCCCUGGUCAACCAGGUUGUUUCUCAGCCCGGGUAAUCAUGUCUGUGCUGCCUCCCCUGGUCAACCAGGUUGUUUCUCAGCCCGGGUAAUCAUGUCUGUGCUGCCUCCCCUAGUCAACCAGGUUGUUUCUCAGCCCGGGUAAUCAUGUCUGUGCUGCCUCCCCUGGUCAACCAGGUUGUUAAUCAGCACGGGUAAUCAUGUCUGUGCUGCCUCCCCUGGUCAACCAGGUUGUUUCUCAGCCCGGGUAAUCAUGUCUGUGCUGCCUCCCCUGGUCAACCAGGUUGUUUCUCAGCACGGGUAAUCAUGUCUGUGCUGCCUCCCCUAGUCAACCAGGUUGUUUCUCAGCACGGGUAAUCAUGUCUGUGCUGCCUCCCCUGCUGUUUGUAAUGCUUUCAUUUUUAGUCAUUUUUAAUUAUUUGUUAAAUUAAUCGAAAUGUGCUGGUAAUCACAUAUGUAUGGCAAAUCACUUGUUCCUCUCUCAAAUAAAUGCAUGUACUGACUAAUGAAGUGACGGAGUGUUUCACUGGAAAUACUCUCUUUGGGAACUGCAUUGGAUGUUCUGCGUGGAAAUGAUUUGGAAUUUUCGGAAAAUAUUUAAUUUGACGGACCAUCAUAUUUAGGACAAAGUACUGUAGGUCUGAAAGUCUAUCUUGCACUGCUAUUCUGCUGGUUAGUACCAUCCCAUCAACAAGCACGUUAAAUGCUGCUAGUGUUUCCAUGUUUCUCUUUUUCUUUUUGUAUGUUUAAGCAAAUUAGCCAAUGGCCAUAUUCCAGUUAUUCAGAUGUAGAGAAGAAUAAUUUAUUGGUCAAGGUGACAUGGACCUAAAAUGGCUUUCUAUACGAGGAAGGAAAUGGUAUGGCUUUAACUGACAAUGUCACAGCACAUCAGUUUUAGAAUUUUUUUUUUUUUUUAAGGUCUUUGUAGGCCUUUGGUAGUGUUUCAUAAGCCUGCUGGUAGUGUUUCAUAAGCCUGCUGGUAGUGUUUCAUAAGCCUGCUCCAAGAGUGUUCUAACCCACAUUUUAACAAGUUCUGGAGCUUUGAGACAUUAGAACCAGACUAGAGAGAGGAAGGAAGGCAGGGAUGGAUGGAGUGAGAGACUGCCUAUGCAAAAUGACUAUCACCUUUGUUGGUAUCAGGUUGGUGUGAUGAUCUCUGGUGCGUCAGAGAUAUGGAAUAAGAAUACUGUGUAUCUCAAUGGGUGUUGUCCUGUCGUCUUUCGUUCGGAUGGGAUGUGACCUGGUCUGAGUUGUAUUAGGCAAGGUGAUACUGCUUUGUAUUGAAGGAAUUAAGAGGCUUAAUGUAAGAGGGUACCAUGUUACCUGUCCCGAGAUCUAAAAGACAAAAGUAGUAAUCCACUUCACACAGAAUCCACGGGACACAAUGUGGAACUACAAAUAACAGUAGUGGAAUUCUGAUUUGCAUACCAGGUCCAAGGCCCAGUACAAGAGCUGACCGAUAGCUUGGCCAGACUAGUGACCCCUCUUUCAAGAGAGGUAUUGAGAGAACAGGAUCUGUUUGAUGCUUGCCAUUGUUUUAUCGAAUUUCAAUGUAUUCUAUGGAUUUCUAUCAUUUUCUCAUUUUUUUUGCCAAUAGGACAUGUGUACUGAUAUAGAGAUGGUUCUUUAAAAAAAAACAUUUAGACCACUCGGAUCAGCGAUCGUGUCCUACUAUGACAUGGCAUACUUGAAGUAUGAAGUGGCAUCUUGGCCAAGCAUUCAGUACAAUUCUGGUAUGGAUGUUGUUAUUCCCUACUAUGUUAAAACUCAAAAAGGUCUGUCUUUUCUUCUGAUUUCUUGGGAUGGCAUGGCUCAAUCUGAACUUUCCAAAAAUGUGACCAAACUUUAAGAUGGGACGUUGAGGGGUGAGGCGGUUCACCGCCACCCUCAGAGACAGGCUCAUGGGGCGUGGGGGAUUGUGUGUGGGGGUGGGGGGGGUAAUUCUGUUUUUUUUUUCAUUACUAAUCUGGUUCUGAAGGAAUUCCAGCCAAUACUAAUCCAACCCCCCCCCCCCCCCCCCCCCCCCCCCCCCCAGCUGCUUAUAUGAAGAAAGAUCAUGAGAAAGAGGAGAGGAGAGGGGGCUAGAGAAAGCCUUAAACAUAAACUUCAUAAGCGAAACUCAGCAUCUCCAAAGCUCCCUGAAUUACAGAGGGUAAAAAUACAUUUAAGGACCAUUCUCUUUCUGUACAGUAGACACGCGUGAUCUGGAUUGGAUAGAGAGACUAAGGGCAGGACCGACUGGAAUAAAUUUAACUCAACACCCAUGCGAACAUUAACAUGUAAUAGCUCUUUUUCCUUCAUGUUUCGUCCCUUCCCUACUGUAUCUAUGCAAGUGUUUAUUUUGUUCUACUUUUCCCCAGCCCAAACUGCCACCCAUGAAAAGGCUUAAAUCCACAAGGAAAGCAACACUGAAAACUAAUUAAAAGUGACCUUCAGUUCUAAGUCUGCUUUUCUCAGCCUCCCCGUUCACCUUUUCAUUUCAGUAAAGUUAGAAGUAGUGCAGUGGGUUUCUGCUCUCAGUACACCUCACCUGAAAUACAUUAGUGUUGUCUUUAGAGUACAGGCAGACUAUGAGGUAGAAUCAUAUAAGCAAUGAUAUUGUGCAAUAUUGUGACCUGUGGUGUUUUUGUAGAUUCACCUACAUCUCAUAAUGUGUUCUUCUAAACUAUCUAUGAAGGUACAAUGUCAUGUUUUUGUUUAUUUGGGUUCAAGUUUUACUGCAUUUAUGGAUUUUGUGUAUAAUCUUGGUUGAAAUAAAGGGUUUCCUAAUUUC